This 406-nucleotide ribosomal RNA is filed under the name uncultured bacterium. Its description in RNAcentral is "partial 16S ribosomal RNA". It matches the Rfam family "Bacterial small subunit ribosomal RNA", at positions 360 to 773 of the family's 1533-position model. The record is from RNAcentral.
AAUAUUGCGCAAUGGAGGGAACUCUGACGCAGCGACGCCGCGUGAGCGAUGAAGGUCUNCGGAUCNUNAAGCUCUGUCCUUGGGGNAGAAGGUCUUCGGACUUGACGGUAGCUAAGGAGGAAGCCGCGGCUAACUACGUGCUUGCAGCCGAGGGAAUACGUAGGGGGCAAUCGUUGUCCGGAAUUAUUGGGUGUAAAGGGUGCGUAGGCGGCCUUUUAAGUCAGAGUUGAAAGCCCACGGCUUAACCGUGGGACUGCAUUUGAAACUGGAGGGCUUGAGUAUCGGAGAGGGUAGUGGAAUUCCCAGUGUAGCGGUGGAAUGCGUAGAUAUUGGGAGGAACACCAGUGGCGAAGGCGACUACCUGGACGAAAACUGACGCUGAGGCACGAAAGCUAGGGGAGCAAAC